AGUGAGGAUUUUGAAGAUGAUGGUUCCACUGAAGUCUGGGCUAUCAGGGAACAUCUGGAUCACUCAGGAAGACCAACAGCUCUUACAGCAGUUGUGAUGUAUACAGAGUGGCAGAAACAGCAGACAAUGCAGUAUUCGGAAGAUGUUAACCUGCUCAAGAGUUUAGUGAGCUUUGCCGUCCUCCUUUUCCCCAUUACCCCUCAAGUCUGAGUAACAAACAUUACCCAGCGCCAGUGUGACUGCUGCCCGGAAAUUCUCUGAUGAGGCUGCCUGAUUUGAAUCCUAACUAGCAAAACCAAAGGACUCUAGCUCAGACUCCAAGGGAAGAUGAAUAACAUAAAUGGCCUUCUCUGCUGGAAAAAAAAAUCUAAUUAUAUGUUUAUAGAUUUUUUUAAAGGUUGGCAUUGAAUACUCAGAAAUAUAUUAAGAUCAUAUUUACCCUCAAUAGGAACACUGAAAAGGAAAUGAUAUUCUGAAACAAAAGGCCAACUCUAAACCUUGGGAGAUGGUGACAGUUACAAAAUGCAGGCCUGUGAAGGAAGUGUGUCCAUAAAAUGCUGACACCAUCUUCUUUCUCAUCAGAUGGGUAGAGAGAGUUUAGAAGCUCAAAACCACCAUCAUCCUUUCACUGUUCCUUUCUGAGUGUCUUCUCAGUAAGUGGAAGAUCCUUUUCUCACCUUGAGCUUAACAUAAAAUCUUUUUGAAAGUGACAAUUUUUUGUUGUUGUUAGUGGUAGUUAUGGAUUUGCUAUAAGAAUACAGCAAUUGCUAAUAUAUUGCCAUCAAAACAAUUAAUAUAAAUAAUAAUAUAGGAUGACAAUAUAGCAUAUAACUAACAGUGUGAACCUUGGAUUCAGAAAAGCUUGGCUUUGAAUCCUGGGUCCAUUAUUACUAGCUGUGUGCAAAUUAUUGAAACCCUCUCACCUCAAUUUUGCAUCCAUAAAAUGGGAUCAUAAUAACGAUUAUUCAAAUUCAACUUAAAGGGAAGUCUGAAUUAAAUGUGAAAAUGUAUGUAUAAAUCACACAAGUACUCAGUAAACAGUCACUAUUAACAUUGUCAUAAAUUUGUAGCUGUUGUUUCAUAGUCACAGUGAGAUGAUAAGGAAAAAUCCCUAUAUUCAAACUAGAAUUGAUUUCUAGUUCAAUAUUCUGAACAAAUGUGUUAUAUACAUUCUAUCAAAAUCACGAAUCAGUUGUAUGUUUUUAAUUUGUUUGUAAAUAUUUGUCAUGUUGUCAUUUUUAGAGAAUUUAAAAGGAAAAAUAGUGUCUUGACUAAUACCAAGCAUUCCACUUACAAGCAUGUUUUCCUUUUAGCACUGCCUCUUGUUGCAUAUGGGUCCAAUGCCCUGAUUUUCAAAAUGUGGUAGGAAACUAGUGAACUGGUAUCAAUGAAUAUCUUGUAGUUUGUCCUGUUCUCAUUCAACUUGUAAGUUCACUGGAUACAUGCAUGAGUAUUUUAAUUGGCCAGAAAGGCAGUUAUUGAUCUGGGUCACAUCUCCACAAGAUUUUAUAGAGAUAGGUUUGAAUAAAGUAGUCCUAAGGCUUAAAUAUCAGAGGCAUAAAGGGAAGAAGACAUUUUGCCACACACUGUAAAAACAAAUAAUCUUGAUCAUGCAGACUCCAUAUCUUACAAUAUUGUUAAUUUACAUUCCACAUCUUAGAACACUUAGACUCCACCACCUACUAUGGCAGGCAGAAAAGGUUCAUAACAAUAAAAAGGAUUCCUAAAGAUGUACAAUUGGCGUUUGCAUAAUAUUGAAAAAAAACUCUUGAUCAAUGAUUAUAUUUUGAUAUCUGUUCUUGCUAUAUAACUCAUCAUACCAAAAUUUAGCAGCUUAAAACAACAAAUAUUUCUGUUUCUGUGGGCAGAAAUCUAGGAGCAGCUUGGGUAGGUGAUUCUGACUCAAGGUCUCUCUUGAGGUUUAGUCAGACCUGGGCCACAGUUUCAUCAGAAGGCUUGACUGGGAGAUCUGCUUCCAAGCUCAUUCAUGUGGUUGUUGGUCAGCCUCAGGUGCCCAUUGGCUGUUAACAGAGAUUUCCAUUUUCUGCUCUGUGGUCCUCUCCUAAGUUGCCUGAAUGCCUUCAUGACAUGGCAGCUGGCUUCUCCAGUUCCUCGUGAAGUAUUGGACUGAGGGCUUCUGUUCUUUGCCAUGUGGGUCUCUCCAUAAGGCAGUUUGCAACCUGGCAACUGGCUUCCCCUACAGCAAAUGAAGACAGACAAUAUGAGCCUGUAGCCACAGUCUAGGAUAACCUAAUCUAGGAGGUGACAUGCCACCACUUCUCUGUAUUCUAUUGAUCAUAAAGAAAAUCUGGUACAGUGUGGGAGGGGACACCAAGGUUGUGAAGACAAGGAGGUGGGGAUGGUUGCGGGCCAUCUUGGGGGCUA
This 2385-nucleotide long non-coding RNA is filed under the name Homo sapiens (human). RNAcentral describes it as "HSALNT0205503". The record is from RNAcentral. Lineage: Eukaryota; Metazoa; Chordata; Mammalia; Primates; Hominidae.